RNAcentral lists this ribosomal RNA (253 nucleotides) under uncultured bacterium. RNAcentral describes it as "partial 16S ribosomal RNA". It matches the Rfam family "Bacterial small subunit ribosomal RNA", at positions 524 to 776 of the family's 1533-position model. The record is from RNAcentral.
UACGGAGGGUGCAAACGUUGCUCGGAAUUAUUGGGCGUAAAGCGCACGUAGGCGGACUGCCAAGUCGGAUGUGAAAGCCCUCGGCUUAACCGAGGAAGUGCACUCGAAACUGGCAAUCUUGAGUACUGGAGAGGGUCGCGGAAUUCCCGGUGUAGAGGUGAAAUUCGUAGAUAUCGGGAGGAACACCAGUGGCGAAGGCGGCGACCUGGACAGAUACUGACGCUGAGGUGCGAAAGCGUGGGGAGCAAACAGG